This 614-nucleotide long non-coding RNA is filed under the name Vitis vinifera (wine grape). RNAcentral's name for it is "long non-coding RNA (VVIN_LNC005712)". The record is from RNAcentral. Lineage: Eukaryota; Viridiplantae; Streptophyta; Magnoliopsida; Vitales; Vitaceae.
UCAACAUGGAAAGAGGCAAGACAGCUGAGCUUCUAAAGCAUGUAUCAGAGCUCAAUGAAGCUAUUCUUCAUUCAAAGCUGGAUGCUAUUGAAGCAGAGAAAGAGAACUCUGCAGUUCUAUCUGAGAAAAAGGCAGAGUUACAGUUAGUGACAGCAACUUUGGCUCAAGCACAGGAACAACUAGAAGAGUUGAGGAAACAAACAGAGAUAGUGCAGUUUCUGGAAAAUGAGCUCCUGGCUAAAUCGGUAUUUAUUGAAACCCUGCAAUUUGAACUUAAAGAAGCCAAUGAACUUCACAGUUUAUCUGCAAAAGCUGCUUCUGAAGCUAUUAACAAUUUAAACCAGCUAAAAUCAGAUUUUGAAAGGCAGGAAAGAGAGAACUCAGAACAAGCAGUAUCCAUUAACUCACUGGAAAUGGAGCUUAAUCAGUUGAAAAUAAAGCUUAAGAAUGCAAAUGGUAGGCCGUUUAAAGUGUGAUGUUGAGAUGCUUACAGGGGAAUUAGAGAAGACAAAAAUUGAGGUGGAUGAGAUUAGAGGAAGGGAGAAUGAAGCUCAAGUUGAAAUAGCACUUCUGAAAUCUGAGCUUCACAAAGGGAGGUCAAGAAUUGCAGCAGC